RNAcentral lists this ribosomal RNA (1187 nucleotides) under uncultured bacterium. Its description in RNAcentral is "bacterial SSU rRNA". It matches the Rfam family "Bacterial small subunit ribosomal RNA", at positions 1 to 1190 of the family's 1533-position model. The record is from RNAcentral.
UUAGAGUUUGAUCCUGGCUCAGAUUGAACGCUGGCGGCAUGCCUUACACAUGCAAGUCGAACGGUAACAGGGAGCUUGCUCCGCUGACGAGUGGCGAACGGGUGAGUAAUAUAUCGGAACAUACCCUAGAGUGGGGGAUAACGUAGCGAAAGUUACGCUAAUACCGCAUACGAACUAAGGUUGAAAGUGGGGGCUCGCAAGACCUCAUGCUCAUGGAGUGGCCGAUAUCUGAUUAGCUAGUUGGUGAGGUAAAGGCUCACCAAGGCGACGAUCAGUAGCUGGUUUGAGAGAACGACCAGCCACACUGGAACUGAGACACGGUCCAGACUCCUACGGGAGGCAGCAGUGGGGAAUUUUGGACAAUGGGGGCAACCCUGAUCCAGCAAUGCCGCGUGAGUGAAGAAGGCCUUCGGGUUGUAAAGCUCUUUUGUCAGGGAAGAAACGGUGAGGUCUAAUACACUUUACUAAUGACGGUACCUGAAGAAUAAGCACCGGCUAACUACGUGCCAGCAGCCGCGGUAAUACGUAGGGUGCAAGCGUUAAUCGGAAUUACUGGGCGUAAAGCGUGCGCAGGCGGUUAUAUAAGUCAGAUGUGAAAUCCCCGGGCUCAACCUGGGAACUGCAUUUGAGACUGUAUGGCUAGAGUGUGUCAGAGGGGGGUAGAAUUCCACGUGUAGCAGUGAAAUGCGUAGAUAUGUGGAGGAAUACCGAUGGCGGAGGCAGCCCCCUGGGAUAACACUGACGCUCAUGCACGAAAGCGUGGGGAGCAAACAGGAUUAGAUACCCUGGUAGUCCACGCCCUAAACGAUGUCUACUAGUUGUUGGGUCUUAAUUGACUUAGUAACGCAGCUAACGCGUGAAGUAGACCGCCUGGGGAGUACGGUCGCAAGAUUAAAACUCAAAGGAAUUGACGGGGACCCGCACAAGCGGCGGAUGAUGUGGAUUAAUUCGAUGCAACGCGAAGAACCUUACCAGGCCUUGACAUCCAAUGAACUUUCUAGAGAUAGAUUGGUGCCUUCGGGAACAUUGAGACAGGUGCUGCAUGGCUGUCGUCAGCUCGUGUCGUGAGAUGUUGGGUUAGUCCCGUAACGAGCGCACCCCUUGUCCUUAGUUACCAGCACGUAAUGGUGGGCACUCUAAAGGAACUGCCGGUGACAACCCGAGGGAAGGUGGGGAUGACGUCAAGU